UGCUUGCAAACUGAAGAUGGCGACCGGCGCACGGGUGAGUAACACGUAUCCAACCUGCCGAUAACUCCGGAAUAGCCUUUCGAAAGAAAGAUUAAUACCGGAUGGCAUACGAAUAUCGCAUGAUAUUUUUAUUAAAGAAUUUCGGUUAUCGAUGGGGAUGCGUUCCAUUAGUUUGUUGGCGGGGUAACGGCCCACCAAGACUACGAUGGAUAGGGGUUCUGAGAGGAAGGUCCCCCACAUUGGAACUGAGACACGGUCCAAACUCCUACGGGAGGCAGCAGUGAGGAAUAUUGGUCAAUGGGCGAGAGCCUGAACCAGCCAAGUAGCGUGAAGGAUGAAGGCUCUAUGGGUCGUAAACUUCUUUUAUAUGGGAAUAAAGUUUUCCACGUGUGGAAUUUUGUAUGUACCAUAUGAAUAAGGAUCGGCUAACUCCGUGCCAGCAGCCGCGGUAAUACGGAGGAUCCGAGCGUUAUCCGGAUUUAUUGGGUUUAAAGGGAGCGUAGGUGGAUUGUUAAGUCAGUUGUGAAAGUUUGCGGCUCAACCGUAAAAUUGCAGUUGAAACUGGGAGUCUUGAGUACAGUAGAGGUGGGCGGAAUUCGUG
Molecule: ribosomal RNA, 601 nt
Filed under: uncultured Bacteroidales bacterium
Lineage: Bacteria; Pseudomonadati; Bacteroidota; Bacteroidia; Bacteroidales
Description: bacterial SSU rRNA
Rfam family: Bacterial small subunit ribosomal RNA
Source: RNAcentral